UACGUAGGGGGCAAGCGUUGUCCGGAUUUAUUGGGCGUAAAGAGCGUGUAGGCGGUUUGGUAGGUCCGUUGUGAAAACUCGAGCUCAACCUCGAGACGCCGACGGAAACCAUCAGACUAGAGUCCGGAAGAGGAGAGUGGAAUUCCUGGUGUAGCGGUGAAAUGCGCAGAUAUCAGGAAGAACACCCGUGGCUAAGGCGGCUCUCUAGUACGGUACUGGACGCUGAAGACGCGAAAGCGUGGGGAGCGAACAGG
This 254-nucleotide ribosomal RNA is filed under the name uncultured bacterium. RNAcentral's name for it is "partial 16S ribosomal RNA". It matches the Rfam family "Bacterial small subunit ribosomal RNA", at positions 524 to 776 of the family's 1533-position model. The record is from RNAcentral.